This 333-nucleotide unclassified non-coding RNA is filed under the name uncultured fungus. RNAcentral describes it as "partial contains small subunit ribosomal RNA, internal transcribed spacer 1, and 5.8S ribosomal RNA". The stretch from base 1 to 73 matches the Rfam family "Eukaryotic small subunit ribosomal RNA", at positions 1759 to 1831 of the family's 1831-position model. The record is from RNAcentral. Lineage: Eukaryota; Fungi.
GCAAACUUGGUCAUUUAGAGGAAGUAAAAGUCGUAACAAGGUUUCCGUAGGUGAACCUGCGGAAGGAUCAUUAACAGUGAUGCGGCUCGCCGCGCGGCGGGGGUAAUUCCUCGUCCGCCGGUGGCCCAUUGCCCACCCGUGUCUACCGAACCAUUGUUGCCUUGGCGGGCCGUCGCCUCCGCGCGGCUGCCGGGGGGGUCUCCCCUCUGGCAAGCGCCCGCCGAAGGAUCUUUAGAACCCAAUUGUGAAUCAGUGGUUGUCUGAGCUUUAAGCGUAAUAGUUAAAACUUUCAACAACGGAUCUCUUGGUUCUGGCAUCGAUGAAGAACGCAGC